CUGAAGUAGAGAAACCCAGAAAGAGUAAAAGUCAAAGAGAGAAGAAUGUACCAUUUCGAGGAGUUGAACUCGAAAACACUUGCUAGAAAAAACUCACUGAUACGCAUUUAGAUAUCUUUUAUUAAUUGCACAGUUAAAGCGUCAUAGAUACAAUAUUCCUCUAGCCAUCAGAACCUAGAACCUAGAACAUAUAACUAUUAAGUGUUAUAAAAACUUACCACAAAAUUGUCAUAAGAGAAUAUACAACCGUAAGCUUCAUUCAGUUUCAUGGCAUAUCAUAUCAAUUUAUGAAAACCUCCUUGCAGUUUGUCGUUCAAAAAAUCCAACUCAGAGUAAAAAUCAACAAUAGUAACCCAUAAUAGCAUAAAGUAUAACCAUUAAAUUAAAUUCAAUAUAACACAGAAACAAUUUCACUACUAUACAUAGAACUCCAUAAAUUCCUUACCACAUAAACCUUGAGAGGUCCAAUAGGUCUAGAAGCCUCAAAAACCUUUUUCCAUAUUCAGCUCCAACCGCCUGAAAACAUUGAAAAACAGAGGAAAAAAAAAACAUAAACUCAUCAAAAUUCCCCACCCAAAAAUAAGCUAAAAAUGGAAAAUAUUCAAACCCCAAAAGCUCUGGUUUCCUAUAUGCCACAUGGAUCUACAUUAGAAAACAUUGUCGUAGUCUUAUACUUAAUUCGGUAUAAAAGUGAAAGAUUUAAGAUAUUUCAGUACAAUGCAAGCGGUAGACAUGUCAAAAUUAGAUUUUAUUUGAUAAUUAUCAAGAAAUAUCAUCUAGAAAUGACAAAACCAAAUUAUAGUCGUAACAAUGAUUUCACCUUUGUUUAUUUUUCUUUUACAAUAGGUCUUAUAUGUGUGUUAAUUUCCUAUAAAUGGUUAUUUGAUUGAGUCUAAAAUCUUCAGUCAAAUAUUUCAACCAUCAAAACCAAAUCUUCAAUCCAUUCAAACUAUAUAUUAAAGUUUAUUAUCAAAUAUAGGAAACAAUGAAUAAAACAAAUCAUACUCAUACAUGGAUACACCAAUACACAGUGACAUUACAACAAUUUGAUACCAAAAAUCGAAAUGCUCAGAUACUCAACACAGACACUAUUCAUAGAUCCAUGACUAAGAAUUUCUCAGCUCUCGGUUGAAAUUAAUUAAAUAAAAAAAAUCACGGAAGCGAAUUUAUACCUCUGAUAUUUAGAGCUUCGUGUCCCAUGAUUCCUUCGCCGGCUUGGUUCAUCUUCUAAUCCAUUGUUCGGCCUUCACACAACCUGCAGAUAGAAACAAUACCCAUUAUACCUUGGUCAGAUGGAUUUUAGAGAGAGGAGAGAGAGAUUAGGGCUUAAGGGCAAACUGAAAACAAUUUUUUUUAUGCAAGUGUAACAUGCCAAUUUGUAAAUAUAACGACCCGUAUUUUCCAGUAUUCAAAAUCAAAGGUAGUUCAUUGGUCCACAUCAUGCAAGAUUUGCGCCGAAAUUGAUAGUGUAGCAUGAAAACUUAAAUCAAAGAUUGAACCUAAACUCAAGUAUCCACAUUCAUGUCGAACAUAAAUGAAAGAUGUACAAAAUAUCAAACCAUGACAAAGAUUUAAAAUUUAUUCCUAACCCAUCAAAGUUUUCAAAUUUUUACAAACUGGGUUCAAUUUACCGCACAAAAAAUUCAACAAUACAGAAAAAUCCAUACCUUUAACGCCAAGAAAACCUUCACUAUAUGAGAGGUAAAGUCAAUCUGCAACACAAUAAAUUGAUCACAUAAACGUAAGUAGAUAUAAUCAAAUCAAAUUAGAGUAUUGAUGAAGAAGAAAUGAAAAGAAGAGGGUUACUAUGCUAUGCAUUCAGGAUCUUCCUGGAAUCAAAACCCCAAAAAACUAAAACGAAAUUUGCAUCGAAAACCCAUUCGGAAUCCAAAUUUACAUCCCUGAAUUAGUUGGAGCAAUUCAAUUGAUAAACACCCAGAACACAGUAAACCAAAAAUGAAAUAUACAAACACAGAAAAAUAAAAAUGAUCUAAAAAAAAAUUCAAUUAAAAGAAAGGAUUUGAGAUAUGAGAGACAUGCAUACCUUGCAGGUAGGCAGCAGUGGCUGAUGGGUAGAUGCUGGCUGCGUUGAUUCUUUCUGGGAGAAAACGGGAAGAAGAAUAUGCGAGAGAGUUCAAUAAAAAUCAAUAUUUGCAACUUUCUCACCUGCAAACGUUGGAUUAGAUAAGCCCAGAACAAAUUCCGACCGAAUUAAAAAUGGGUAGAAACUUCUAACCUCUUAUUGAUUUUCAAGAAAACAACUUUGAUAACUAAUUCGUGAACAACAAAGCAAGAGGCGGAAUAAUUUGAAGAAUAAAAAUGACGAAGCGGUACAGCCACAUAAAACAAAGUCUGAGACGGAGAGAAAUGGACGGCCAAAAAGGAAGGAGCUUGAGGUAUGUGAGAGGAGAGUGAAAAGUAAAACAGAAGAAAAAAGGGGGUUAAAAUAGGAUGAUGUUAAUAAAUAAAGAAAAGAAAUACAUGAAAAGUAGCAGAUGAAGUCGUUGCUAACAAGAGCUAUCAAGCAGAUUUAGCUCAAUCUCAACAAGAAUUUUACACAUUGAAUGCAAACAAAUCAAGUUCCAGCUCUCUCAGUAGCUGUAAGUAACGAAACAAACAAAUCAGAUAAGAUAAAAAUAAAGCAAAUGUAUCGUAAC
RNAcentral lists this long non-coding RNA (2657 nucleotides) under Malus domestica (apple). RNAcentral describes it as "long non-coding RNA (MDOM_LNC015869)". The record is from RNAcentral. Lineage: Eukaryota; Viridiplantae; Streptophyta; Magnoliopsida; Rosales; Rosaceae.